This 301-nucleotide ribosomal RNA is filed under the name uncultured bacterium. RNAcentral describes it as "partial 16S ribosomal RNA". It matches the Rfam family "Bacterial small subunit ribosomal RNA", at positions 509 to 809 of the family's 1533-position model. The record is from RNAcentral.
CAGUCGCCGCGGUAAUACGGAGGGAGCUAGCGUUGUCCGGAAUUACUGGGCGUAAAGCGCACGUAGGCGGCUUUGUAAGUCAGAGGUGAAAGCCUGGAGCUCAACUCCAGAACUGCCUUUGAGACUGCAUCGCUUGAAUCCAGGAGAGGUGAGUGGAAUUCCGAGUGUAGAGGUGAAAUUCGUAGAUAUUCGGAAGAACACCAGUGGCGAAGGCGGCUCACUGGACUGGUAUUGACGCUGAGGUGCGAAAGCGUGGGGAGCAAACAGGAUUAGAUACCCGCGUAGUCCCUGUCUCUUAUAU